GCCAGGUGUGGUGGCUCACACCUGUAAUCCCAGCACUUUGGGAGGCUGAGGUGGGAGGAUAACCUGAGGUCAGGAGUUUGAGACUAGCCUGACCAAUAUGGUGAAACCCCAUCUCUA
Macaca fascicularis (crab-eating macaque) is the source of this 117-nucleotide unclassified non-coding RNA. It matches the Rfam family "Metazoan signal recognition particle RNA". From Rfam's summary of the family: The signal recognition particle (SRP) is a universally conserved ribonucleoprotein. The record is from Ensembl. Lineage: Eukaryota; Metazoa; Chordata; Mammalia; Primates; Cercopithecidae.